Molecule: unclassified non-coding RNA, 168 nt
Filed under: soil metagenome
Description: partial internal transcribed spacer 1
Source: RNAcentral
ACACUAAUGAAAUCCAAAACCUUUUGGAUCAACCCAACCUUAGCGAACCGUUCGUUUUUUCCCUUUGCCAUUUUUAUUAAACGCAAACAAAUCUGAUGUAAAGUGUCUGAUUCUUAUUCCCGUUUUCCCUGAAAAGGGUACAGCUGGAAUCAAAAAUCUAACGCAAUA